This 120-nucleotide unclassified non-coding RNA is filed under the name Oryza sativa (Asian cultivated rice). RNAcentral describes it as "partial microRNA MIR455b-53-as precursor". Lineage: Eukaryota; Viridiplantae; Streptophyta; Magnoliopsida; Poales; Poaceae. The record is from RNAcentral.
AUCUAUAUAAUUCAUUUUAGCAUUUCCCACAUUCAUAUUGAUGUUAAUGAAUCUAGAUCUAGAUUCAUUAACAUCAAUAUGAAUGUGGGAAAUGCUAGAAUAAAUUAUGUUGUGAAGCGG